UAUUUGUCCAUGAUAUGUAUAUGUCGUGUGUGUGUGUGUGCAUGUGUGUAUAUAUAUAUCAUCAUCUAUAUGGAAAUAAGGAUAACAGUGAAAGGACAGUUAAA
This 104-nucleotide microRNA precursor is filed under the name Otolemur garnettii (small-eared galago). RNAcentral's name for it is "miRNA (ENSOGAG00000034407.1)". The record is from RNAcentral. Lineage: Eukaryota; Metazoa; Chordata; Mammalia; Primates; Galagidae.